AGCAGUUUGAAUAUGGUGGUAUGGCCUCGUAAGAGGCCGGAGAGUGAAGUGAAUGUGUGUUGGACGCGGGUUCGAUUCCCGCCAGCUCCACCACAAGUCGUCUCCGUGACUGCCCACGCCGGGCAAGACGGUCCGCGAGCCCUAUCGCAAGUGCGCAUAGCGACGGGUUGGCUGAUGACGUGAGGGUAGGUAGCUCCUAUCCAAGCAACGAGACGCCUUUUGAUGGGGCUGCCCUGGUUUCGACAACGCAAGCUAAUGGAUCUUGACCACUCGGGAAGCGGUUCCUGAACGAUGCUUGCAUCGUUGAACAAGCAAAACCAAAGUAACUGCAAACGAUGCACACUUCAAGGUUGCGGCUCACGCCUAAUGCCUUGUGAAGUGGUCGCACCGACUGACUGGUUCGCCGGUUGGUCUGCUCGGCUGGUUUCCGGCUGACGCGUGCGAUCAUCCCGGCCGCC
This 458-nucleotide non-coding RNA is filed under the name Achromobacter anxifer. The record is from RNAcentral. Lineage: Bacteria; Pseudomonadati; Pseudomonadota; Betaproteobacteria; Burkholderiales; Alcaligenaceae.